UACGAGAGGCCCAAACGUUAUUCGGAAUUACUGGGCUUAAAGAGUUCGUAGGCGGCGCGGAAAGUAGGGUGUGAAAGCCCUCGGCUUAACCGAGGAAUUGCGCUCUAAACUACCGUGCUUGAGGAACCUAGAGGUGAGCAGAACUGAUGGUGGAGCGGUGAAAUGCGUUGAUAUCGGGAGGAACACCAGUGGCGAAGGCGGUUGCCUGGAGCUUUGCUGACGCUGAGGCGCGAAAGCGUGGGGAGCGAACAGG
This 253-nucleotide ribosomal RNA is filed under the name uncultured bacterium. RNAcentral's name for it is "partial 16S ribosomal RNA". It matches the Rfam family "Bacterial small subunit ribosomal RNA", at positions 524 to 776 of the family's 1533-position model. The record is from RNAcentral.